CAGUCGCCGCGGGAAAACGAAGGGAGCUAGCGUUGCUCGGAAUGACUGGGCGUAAAGGGCGCGUAGGCGGCACAGACAGUCAGAAGUGAAAUUCCUGGGCUCAACCUGGGGACUGCUUUUGAUACGUCUGAGCUAGAGUGGAGAAGAGGGUUGUGGAAUUCCCAGUGUAGAGGUGAAAUUCGUAGAUAUUGGGAAGAACACCGGUGGCGAAGGCGGCAACCUGGUCCUUGACUGACGCUGAGGCGCGAAAGCUAGGGGAGCAAAUGGGAUUAGAUACCCCUGUAGUCCCUGUCUCUUAUGC
Molecule: ribosomal RNA, 301 nt
Filed under: uncultured bacterium
Lineage: Bacteria
Description: partial 16S ribosomal RNA
Rfam family: Bacterial small subunit ribosomal RNA
Source: RNAcentral